CUUCCGUAGACGGUAGACAGGAAUAAUAAUAAUAAAAAAAAAACUAUAUAUAUUCAGAUAUCUGAUUUGUUCACGUUAUUAAAAAUAACACAAUGUGUAUCGAUAAUGCCGUUAUGUAUCGGCUGUGUUGUUUCGGCGCGAUAUUGUCGGGCGUUGGUACCCUAUCUUAAAACCAAAUUUGAUUUUAUCACAGAUUUUUACGGUAACAACUAUAACGGUUAAUAAAGGGGUCGCGUGAAAUAUCCGAAAAUAUUUGGUCAGAACCGUAUGAAAUCCGAAAAAUGUUUCCCCCAGAAACGUAUUUUAUCCGAAAAUGUUCCGUGGCUCAUUUCGGCCGGACCGACGGCGGAUCUAGACAUUUUUUUAAAGGGGGCGCACGUUAUUGAGUACGGAAAAAAAAACAAAAAAAAAAAAACGAGGACGGGUCGCAUACCAUAAUACACAAACGGUCGGUCAUUCAUAGCGGCUCGCGCCGCGCUGAAAACGGCUCUGUAACUAUUAUCGUUUUAUCGGGACCGGAAUGGGCUCGCGUGGCUCACGCGGCCCCGCCGGUACCGGCCGGCGGUGUGUGACCGGAAUUUCUAACGCCCGUGGCGAAAUGACCGAAUGGCGGAGGGGUGGGGUUUGGGCCGAAUGCACGAACCGAGUGGGGUACCGAUUUAAACAGACCGGAGCAAAGACACAGGCCGUCGCCUGUUUGUUCGCACACCCGUCCGUCUGCUGAAACCCGUAAUACC
This is a non-coding RNA of Cinara cedri, 737 nucleotides long. The record is from the annotation of a GenBank genome assembly. Lineage: Eukaryota; Metazoa; Arthropoda; Insecta; Hemiptera; Aphididae.